CCUACGGGAGGCAGCAGUAGGGAAUCUUCCGCAAUGGACGAAAGUCUGACGGAGCAACGCCGCGUGAACGAUGAAGGCCUUCGGGUCGUAAAGUUCUGUUGUUAGGGAAGAACAAGUGCUAGUUGAAUAAGCUGGCACCUUGACGGUACCUAACCAGAAAGCCACGGCUAACUACGUGCCAGCAGCCGCGGUAAUACGUAGGUGGCAAGCGUUGUCCGGAAUUAUUGGGCGUAAAGCGCGCGCAGGCGGUUUCUUAAGUCUGAUGUGAAAGCCCCCGGCUCAACCGGGGAGGGUCAUUGGAAACUGGGAAACUUGAGUGCAGAAGAGGAAAGUGGAAUUCCAAGUGUAGCGGUGAAAUGCGUAGAGAUUUGGAGGAACACCAGUGGCGAAGGCGACUUUCUGGUCUGUAACUGACGCUGAGGCGCGAAAGCGUGGGGAGCAAACAGGAUUAGAUACCCUGGUAGUCCACGCUGUAAACGAUGAGUGCUAAGUGUUAGAGGGUUUCCGCCCUUUAGUGCUGAAGUUAACGCAUUAAGCACUCCGCCUGGGGAUACGGUCGCAAGACUGAAACUCAAAAGGAAUUGACGG
Molecule: ribosomal RNA, 588 nt
Filed under: uncultured bacterium
Lineage: Bacteria
Description: bacterial SSU rRNA
Rfam family: Bacterial small subunit ribosomal RNA
Source: RNAcentral